Molecule: ribosomal RNA, 497 nt
Filed under: uncultured bacterium
Lineage: Bacteria
Description: partial 16S ribosomal RNA
Rfam family: Bacterial small subunit ribosomal RNA
Source: RNAcentral
GAUGAACGCUGGCGGCGUGCCUAAUACAUGCAAGUCGAGCGAACAGACGAGGAGCUUGCUCCUCUGACGUUAGCGGCGGACGGGUGAGUAACACGUGGAUAACCUACCUAUAAGACUGGGAUAACUUCGGGAAACCGGAGCUAAUACCGGAUAAUAUAUUUAACCGCAUGGUUCAAUAGUGAAAGACGGUUUUGCUGUCACUUAUAGAUGGAUCCGCGCCGCAUUAGUUAGUUGGUAAGGUAACGGCUUACCAAGGCAACGAUGCGUAGCCGACCUGAGAGGGUGAUCGGCCACACUGGAACUGAGACACGGUCCAGACUCCUACGGGAGGCAGCAGUAGGGAAUCUUCCGCAAUGGGCGAAAGCCUGACGGAGCAACGCCGCGUGAGUGAUGAAGGUCUUCGGAUCGUAAAACUCUGUUAUUAGGGAAGAACAAAUGUGUAAGUAACUAUGCACGUCUUGACGGUACCUAAUCAGAAAGCCACGGCUAACUACGUG